This 438-nucleotide ribosomal RNA is filed under the name Triticum aestivum (bread wheat). Its description in RNAcentral is "partial small subunit ribosomal RNA". The record is from RNAcentral. Lineage: Eukaryota; Viridiplantae; Streptophyta; Magnoliopsida; Poales; Poaceae.
AUGCCACCAUGCAAACUAAACGGAGGGCAAGAGAGCAGGACGCAACUCUACCUGGAAAUGCUUCUAGCCAGCGACAGAAGUAAGUUGGUCGGAGCCAAAGAGGGGAAUGCCAAAGAAGCCAAGCAUGCCGACGAGGAUGAGGUAACCGGUGAUCGUAUCCUGGUUCUCCUUGAUCUUGCCCUCGAAGUUCUUCCACUCCAGGUUGUCCUGCUGCAGCUCGUCCUACACCGCCUAGAAACAAACAAUUCAGAUGAACAACUGCAUAGAUCAUACCUUGUUUGCUUAUCUAGACCAGACACUACUACUAUUUGUGAAUAUAGCGAAUGUAAAAACAAUGUAAAUGGUGAACAACACUUGAGAAUAUAUCAACAGAUUAAGAGCAUAUUGUUUAGCAUCACACAGAUAGUAGCACAAUGCUACAUGCAACUAUUAGGAUAA